RNAcentral lists this ribosomal RNA (493 nucleotides) under uncultured bacterium. Its description in RNAcentral is "bacterial SSU rRNA". It matches the Rfam family "Bacterial small subunit ribosomal RNA", at positions 28 to 515 of the family's 1533-position model. The record is from RNAcentral.
GAUUAACGCUAGCGGCAGGCCUAAUACAUGCAAGUCGAGGGGCAGCAGGGUGUAGCAAUACAUCGCUGACGACCGGCGCACGGGUGCGUAACACGUAUGCAACCUACCUUUAACUGGGAAUAGCCCUCCGAAAGGAGGAUUAACACCGCAUAACAUCACGAGACGGCAUCGCCUUGUGAUCAAACCUCCGGGGGUUAAAGAUGGGCAUGCGUCCGAUUAGCUAGUUGGCGGGGUAACGGCCCACCAAGGCGACGAUCGGUAGGGGGUCUGAGAGGAUGAUCCCCCACACUGGUACUGAGACACGGACCAGACUCCUACGGGAGGCAGCAGUAAGGAAUAUUGGACAAUGGUCGCAAGACUGAUCCAGCCAUGCCGCGUGCAGGAUGAACGAUCUAUGAUCUGUAAACUGCUUUUGUUCGGGAAUAAACCCCUUCACGUGUGGAGGGCUGAAUGUACCGAAAGAAUAAGGGUCGGCUAACUUCGUGCCAGCAGC